AGUGAACGCUGGCGGUAGGCCUAACACAUGCAAGUCGAACGGCAGCACAGUAAGAGCUUGCUCUUACGGGUGGCGAGUGGCGGACGGGUGAGGAAUACAUCGGAAUCUACUUUUUCGUGGGGGAUAACGUAGGUAAACUUACGCUAAUACCGCAUACGACCUACGGGUGAAAGCAGGGGAUCUUCGGACCUUGCGCGAUUGAAUGAGCCGAUGUCGGAUUAGCUAGUUGGCGGGGUAAAGGCCCACCAAGGCGACGAUCCGUAGCUGGUCUGAGAGGAUGAUCGGCCACACUGGAACUGAGACACGGUCCAGACUCCUACGGGAGGCAGCAGUGGGGAAUAUUGGACAAUGGGCGCAAGCCUGAUCCAGCCAUACCGCGUGGGUGAAGAAGGCCUUCGGGUUGUAAAGCCCUUUUGUUGGGAAAGAAAAGCAGCAGGUUAAUACCCCGCUGUUCUGACGGUACCCAAAGAAGAAGCACCGGCUAACUUCGUG
RNAcentral lists this ribosomal RNA (492 nucleotides) under uncultured bacterium. RNAcentral's name for it is "partial 16S ribosomal RNA". It matches the Rfam family "Bacterial small subunit ribosomal RNA", at positions 29 to 507 of the family's 1533-position model. The record is from RNAcentral.